RNAcentral lists this ribosomal RNA (394 nucleotides) under uncultured bacterium. Its description in RNAcentral is "bacterial SSU rRNA". It matches the Rfam family "Bacterial small subunit ribosomal RNA", at positions 972 to 1368 of the family's 1533-position model. The record is from RNAcentral.
UACCUAGACUUGACAUCUCCUGCAUUACUCUUAAUCGAGGAAGUCCCUUCGGGGACAGGAUGACAGGUGGUGCAUGGUUGUCGUCAGCUCGUGUCGUGAGAUGUUGGGUUAAGUCCCGCAACGAGCGCAACCCUUAUUGUUAGUUGCCAUCAUUAAGUUGGGCACUCUAGCGAGACUGCCCGGGUUAACCGGGAGGAAGGUGGGGAUGACGUCAAAUCAUCAUGCCCCUUAUGUCUAGGGCUACACACGUGCUACAAUGGUCGGUACAAUAAGACGCAAGCCCGCGAGGGGGAGCAAAACUGGAAAACCGAUCUCAGUUCGGAUUGUAGGCUGAAACUCGCCUACAUGAAGCUGGAGUUGCUAGUAAUCGCGAAUCAGCAUGUCGCGGUGAAUA